This 1191-nucleotide long non-coding RNA is filed under the name Homo sapiens (human). RNAcentral describes it as "non-protein coding lnc-ZNF517-2:6". Lineage: Eukaryota; Metazoa; Chordata; Mammalia; Primates; Hominidae. The record is from RNAcentral.
CCGGGUCUCUGCAGGAUGUGCGGUCGCGGGUCGGAGUCUAUAAAGAUUCCUAGGUCAAAACAAAGCAUAAACAAUCAACGCCAACAGAAAAAUCUUCCGAAGAACAAUUACAAGAAGUAACUCAGGAAAUUUUCCCAAGAGGCAAUCCAGAAGAGUUUGAGUUUCGAUCAGCUUGUAGGACUGAGACAGGAGCAGAACAUUGCUGGAAGAAAUUCACAAUACAGACCAGGAUGAAGUUAUUUCCCCAAAAGAGAGGUUCGAGGCAAGUGGUCAGCUCCCCGUUGAAAAUCAUUGUAGCAGACAAAUACCGGGAAUGUAAUAAAUUGGAGAAAAGUUUGUCUCUGGGCACAAAGCCUGUUGUACCUCUGAGGGACAGGCCAGGAAAGAGAGCCAGUGGAUGGAGGAUGGGUGGCUGAGGCUUUCCAUGUGAGUCAUAUCUGAGUGGACAUCGGGCAGUUACCAGUGGGACAAAGCCCCAUGGAUGCCAUGUGUAUGGGAAGUCUUUCAGCAAGAACUCACACCUUACUUGGCAUCAGAUAAUUCAUACUACAGAGAAGCCCUGUGUAUGUAUUGAAUGUGGGGAAAAAAACACAACUCAAGCCUUAUACAUCAUCAGAAAAUUCACCAUGGAUGGUGAAACCCUAUCUCUACUAAAAACACAAAAAUUAUCUGGGUGUGGUGGUGUAUGCUGGUAAUCCUGGCUACUCAGGAGGCUGAGGCAGAAGAAUUGCUUGAACCAGGGAGGCGGAGGUUGCAUUGAGCUGAGAUUGCGGCACUGCACUCCAGCCUGGGCGACAGAGUGAGACUCCAUCUCAAAAGAAAAGAAAAGAAAAGAAAAUUCAUGGUGGAGAAAAACCCUGUGUGUGUAGUGAAUGUGGUAAGGGCUUUAGGGAGACAUCAAAGCUUGUUAAACAUCAGAGAAUUCAUACUGGAGAAAAGCCCUAUAGGUGGGAUGAAUGUGACAAAGCCUUUAGUGGGAAUUCAAACCUUAUUAAACACCAACUGAUACAUACUGGAGAGAAGCCCUAUAAAUGUAUUGAGUGCGGGAAAGCCUUUAAUCCGAAAGCAAAUCCCAUGCAAUAUCAGAGAAUUCAUACAGGAGAGAAACUUUUUGAAUGUCAAGAGUGUGGAAAAAGCUUCAGUCAGCCAUCACACGUGAUUCAUAAUCAAAGGAAGCAUGCUUGAGAGAAG